CGCACCUUGCACCCUUUGGCAUUCCGAAGGGUACAUCUGUUUGAGUGUCAUGAAAACCUCAGCUUCUAUAUUUGCUGUAUGGCUAAUAUCAGAGGUUGGAUGUUGAGUGCUGCUGUUUUCAACAGCUCACUCCAAAUAUAUAAGCGAUCCUUUUACAAUUCGGAUUGACCCAAUGUGAUAAGCCUCUUUCAUUGGGGAUGCCUCUUCAGGCAGCCGGAUAACAGAAGGCAGCUUCAAAACCUGGCUCUUAAUUUUAGACCUCAAAUCAGAUGGGACUACCCGCUGAACUUAA
Molecule: unclassified non-coding RNA, 292 nt
Filed under: Septobasidium sp.
Lineage: Eukaryota; Fungi; Basidiomycota; Pucciniomycetes; Septobasidiales; Septobasidiaceae
Description: partial contains 5.8S ribosomal RNA, internal transcribed spacer 2, and large subunit ribosomal RNA
Source: RNAcentral